UACGUAGGGGGCAAGCGUUGUUCGGAAUUACUGGGCGUAAAGGGCGCGUAGGCGGCACGGCAAGUCGGAAGUGAAAUGCCUGGGCUCAACCGAGGAACUGCUUUCGAGACUGCCGAGCUAGAGUGUGGCAGAGGGGGGUGGAAUUCCGCGUGUAGCAGUGAAAUGCGUAGAGAUGCGGAGGAACACCGAUGGCGAAGGCGGGUCUCUGGACAGUUCCUGACACUGAGACACGAAGGCCAGGGGAGCAAACGGG
RNAcentral lists this ribosomal RNA (253 nucleotides) under uncultured bacterium. RNAcentral's name for it is "partial 16S ribosomal RNA". It matches the Rfam family "Bacterial small subunit ribosomal RNA", at positions 524 to 776 of the family's 1533-position model. The record is from RNAcentral.